AACAUUAGUAGAGAAGCGUGUGAGCCAGCUGCCAAGAAAAGCCGCUAUUGCUUCAUAAGUACCCGUACCGUAAACCGACACAGGUGGAUGAGGAGAGAAUCCUAAGGCCGGCGGGAGAAGUGUUGUUAAGGAACUCGGCAAAAUGACUCCGUAACUUCGGGAGAAGGAGUGCCACAGAGAUGUGGCCGCAGAGAAAUGGCCCAAGCAACUGUUUAGCAAAAACACAGGUCUAUGCAAAACCGAAAGGUGAGGUAUAUGGGCUGACGCCUGCCCGGUGCUGGAAGGUUAAGAGGAGAGGUUAGAGCAAUCGAAGCUUUGAAUUUAAGCCCCAGUAAACGGCGGCCGUAACGAUAACGGUCCUAAGGUAGCGAAAUUCCUUGUCGGGUAAGUUCCGACCCGCACGAAAGGCGUAAUGAUUUGGGCACUGUCUCAACAACACACCCGGUGAAAUUGAAAUACCAGUGAAGAUGCUGGUUACCUGCGCCAGGACGGAAAGACCCCAUGGAGCUUUACUCCAGUUUGAUACUGGGAUUCGGUACUGUCUGUACAGGAUAGGUGGGAGGCUAGGAAAUGGUGACGCCAGUUGCCAUGGAGCCAACCUUGGGAUACCACCCUUACAGUACUGGGUUUCUAACCUGCAGCCGUGACCCGGCUGGGGGACAAUGUCUGACGGGGAGUUCGACUGGGGCGGUCGCCUCCGAAAGAGUAUCGGAGGCGCUCAAAGGUUCCCUCAGAACGGUUGGAAACCGUUCGAAGAGUGCAAAGGCAGAAGGGAGCUUGACUGCGACACCGACGGGUGGAGCAGAUACGAAAGUAGGACUUAGUGAUCCGGUGGUAUAAAGUGGGAUUGCCAUCGCUCAACGGAUAAAAGCUACCCUGGGAUAACAGGCUUAUCACUCCCAAGAGUUCACAUCGACGGAGUGGUUUGGCACCUCGAUGUCGGCUCAUCGCAUCCUGGAGCUGUAGCAGGUUCCAAGGGUUGGGCUGUUCGCCCAUUAAAGCGGUACGCGAGCUGGGUUCAGAACGUCGUGAGACAGUUCGGUCCCUAUCCGGCGUGGGCGUAGGAUAUUUGAGAGGAGCUGUCCUUAGUACGAGAGGACCGGGAUGGACAAACCUCUGGUGUAUCUGUUGUUUUACCAAAGGCAUGGCAGAGUAGCCAAGUUUGGCAGGGAUAAACGCUGAAGGCAUCUAAGCGUGAAGCCCCCCUCAAGAUAAGAUAUCCCAUCUUCGGAGUAGACCCCUUGAAGACUACAAGGUUGAUAGGCUUCAGGUGUAAGUGUGGUAACGCACUCAGCUGAGAAGUACUAAUAGGUCGAGGACUUAUC
This 1325-nucleotide ribosomal RNA is filed under the name metagenome. Its description in RNAcentral is "bacterial LSU rRNA". It matches the Rfam family "Bacterial large subunit ribosomal RNA", at positions 1575 to 2925 of the family's 2925-position model. The record is from RNAcentral.